This 1492-nucleotide ribosomal RNA is filed under the name Candidatus Heimdallarchaeota archaeon. Its description in RNAcentral is "bacterial SSU rRNA". It matches the Rfam family "Archaeal small subunit ribosomal RNA". The record is from RNAcentral. Lineage: Archaea; Promethearchaeati; Candidatus Heimdallarchaeota.
ACACCGGUUGAUCCUGCCGGACCUGACUGCUAUUGGAGUAGGACUAAGUCACGCUAGUCAAAGGUGUAGAACGGAACACCUGGCAUACGGCUCAGUAACACGUAGUGAACCUACCCUGAGGACGGGGACAACCACGGGAAACUGUGGAUAAUACCCGAUAGAAAAUUUGGCCUGGAACGGUAUCUUUUCGAAAACUGACCCACCGAAGGGAACCGGGCCUCAGGAUGGCGCUGCGGCUGAUUAGCUAGAUGGUGGUGUAAAGGACCACCAUGGCAACGAUCAGUAUGGGCAAUGGAAGUUGGAGCCCAGAGUCGCCUACUGAGACAAGGAGGCGAGCCUUACGAGGCUUAGCGGUCGCGAAAACUCGCCAAUGCAAGAAAUUGCGAGUGGGCUACUCCAAGUGCCGUUUGUAAAGACGGCUGUCGCUCAGUGUAGAUAGCUGAGAAAGGAAGGAGAGGGCAAGGCUGGUGCCAGCCGCCGCGGUAAAACCAGCUCUUCGAGUGGUCAGGACGAAUAUUGGGUCUAAAGCGCUCGUAGCCGGGCAAGUAGGUUCUUGGUUAAACCUGCGAGCAUAACUCGUAGACCGCUGAGAAUACCGCUAGCCUUGGGAACGGUAUAGGGCAGAGGUAGUCAUGGGGCAGGGGUGAAAUCCAGUGAUCCCAUGGCGACCACCGAUGGCGAAGGCAUCUGCCUGGAACGUAUCCGACGGUGAGGGGCGAAAGCAAGGGGAGCGACCCGGAUUAGAUACCCGGUUAGUCCUUGCUGUAAACGAUGCGGACUAGGUGUUGCGACGGCCAUGAGCCAUCGCGGUGCCACAGUGAAGACGUUAAGUCCGCCACCUGGGGAGUACGUUCGCAAGAGUGAAACUUAAAGGAAUUGACGGGGGCGCACCACCAGGAGUGAAGCCUGCGGUUUAAUUGGAUUCAACGCCGGAAAACUCACCUGAGCUGACGGCAGGAUGAAGCUCAAGCUAAUGACUUUAGCUAACUCGCCGAGAGGAAGUGCAUGGCCGUCGACAGUUCGUGCCGUGAGGUGUCCUGUUAAGUCAGGCAACGAACGAGAUCCUCAUCCACAGUUGCCAGCGGAUUCUGCCAGAAUGCCGGGAACCCUGUGGAGACUGCCUAGGCGCUAAGCCGGAGGAAGGAGAGGGCAACGGCAGGUCAGUAUGCUCCGAAAGCUCAGGGCUACACGCGGGCUGCAAUGGUUCGGACAAUGGGCUGUGACCCCGAAAGGGGAAACGAACCCCGAAACCGAAUCUCAGUCAGGAUUGAGGCUUGCAACUCAGCCUCAUGAAUAUGGAAUUCCUAGUAAUCGCUUUUCAUCAAGAAGCGGUGAAUACGUCCCCGCGCCUUGUACACACCGCCCGUCGUUGCAACCAACUGUGUUAUGGUUGAGGUAGCUGAUUUUAUGCGGCUGUCGAUACUGUGAUACGCAAGGAGGCAAAAGUCGUAACAAGGUAGCCGUAGGGGAACCUGCGGCUGGAUCACCUCCU